RNAcentral lists this ribosomal RNA (548 nucleotides) under uncultured Glomeromycotina. RNAcentral describes it as "SSU rRNA". It matches the Rfam family "Eukaryotic small subunit ribosomal RNA", at positions 548 to 1098 of the family's 1831-position model. The record is from RNAcentral. Lineage: Eukaryota; Fungi; Glomeromycota.
UUGGAGGGCAAGUCUGGUGCCAGCAGCCGCGGUAAUUCCAGCUCCAAUAGCGUAUAUUAAAGUUGUUGCAGUUAAAAAGCUCGUAGUUGAAUUUCGGAAUCAGUGCGCUGGUCGUGCCUCUGGUAUGCACUGGUGCUACUGAUUUCUCCCUUCUGAAGAACUAUCAUGCCAUUAAUUUGGUGUGGUAGGGAAUCAGGACUGUUACUUUGAAAAAAUUAGAGUGUUUAAAGCAGGCUCACGCUUGAAUACAUUAGCAUGGAAUAAUGAAAUAGGACGUUGAUCUUAUUUUGUUGGUUUCUAGGAUUGACGUAAUGAUUAAUAGGGAUAGUUGGGGGCAUUAGUAUUCAAUUGUCAGAGGUGAAAUUCUUGGAUUUAUUGAAGACUAACUACUACGAAAGCAUUUGCCAAGGAUGUUUUCAUUAAUCAAGAACGAAAGUUAGGGGAUCGAAGACGAUCAGAUACCGUCGUAGUCUUAACCAUAAACUAUGCCGACUAGGGAUCGGAUGAUGUUAAUUUUUUAAUGACUCAUUCGGCGCCUUACGGGAAAC